Non-coding RNA from Acidobacteria bacterium 13_2_20CM_2_57_6, 84 nucleotides. The record is from Rfam. Lineage: Bacteria; Pseudomonadati; Acidobacteriota.
GCCCGAGUGGCGGAACUGGCAGACGCGCUGCGUUCAGGUCGCAGUGAUCGCAAGGUCGUGGAGGUUCGAGUCCUCUCUCGGGCA